UGACUUUGUUAAAGGAACUGUGUCA
RNAcentral lists this non-coding RNA (25 nucleotides) under Rattus norvegicus (Norway rat). The record is from RNAcentral. Lineage: Eukaryota; Metazoa; Chordata; Mammalia; Rodentia; Muridae.